This 521-nucleotide ribosomal RNA is filed under the name uncultured fungus. Its description in RNAcentral is "bacterial SSU rRNA". It matches the Rfam family "Eukaryotic small subunit ribosomal RNA", at positions 1311 to 1661 of the family's 1831-position model. Lineage: Eukaryota; Fungi. The record is from RNAcentral.
UCUUCUGGGUGCUGAGGGGUAAACUGAGGCCUGCAGUUGGGGAGAGAGCCAGAACCAGGGUCCCUCCUAGAGUCCUGAGAUAUAGGCAUGGAUUUCAACUCUGCCGCUGCAUUUCGGGGAGGCCCUGAGAUAUCUGGUCUUCAAUUUGCCCUUCUACACUGAGCACGGAGAGGCGUGGAGUAGACAAGGGCCAGUCGAUUUCGUUCCAAAAAGAAACGGACCCUUACCUUUUAAAUAGCCAGGCUAUCUUUGGCGGGUCGCGGGUUUUUUAGAGGGACUAUCGGCUCAAACCGAUGGAAGUUUGAGGCAAUAACAGGUCUGUGAUGCCCUUAGAUGUUUUGGGCCGCACGCGCGCUACACUGACAGAGCCAACGAGUUCAUUUCCUUGGCCGAAAGGUCUGGGUAAUCUUGUUAAACUCUGUCGUGCUGGGGAUAGAGCAUUGCAAUAAUUGCUCUUCAACGAGGAAUUCCUAGUAAGCGCAAGUCAUCAGCAUGCGUUGAUUACGUACCUGCCAUUUAAA